Molecule: long non-coding RNA, 2679 nt
Organism: Phyllostomus hastatus (greater spear-nosed bat)
Lineage: Eukaryota; Metazoa; Chordata; Mammalia; Chiroptera; Phyllostomidae
Exons: 3
Source: RefSeq, a predicted model, not a curated record
CCCGUGUGGAACGAGGUGUGGUGCCAGCUCACUGGGGGGGACGCACGUCUCUUCGAAUGUCACCGCGCCCAGUGAGACACUGGGGAGGGCCGGCCCUGCCUUUCCCUGGGGCAGAUCAUGGUUAUAAGGAUUAACCAAAGUCAGUUCCCCCUCCUCCUGCUCACGGUGUCUCGGGGAACCACCAUCGUGUCUCGGGGAACCACCAGCCCCUCCCUCCUGGGCCCGUCGCCCCACAUGGCCUCCCAGAUGCUCUGCGCUCCAGCACAGGGGCUCUCGUCAGUCUGCUGUCACCCGCUCUCCGCCCCCCAGUUCUGCUGCGUUCCCGGCAGUGACCGUGGGUUUGUCCAGCGGGAGGCCGACCCAGAGGUGGGCAGGAGGGCAAAGCCUGUCUUGCUUAGCAGCACGCAGUGGCUCGGUGUGGGCCUCGGUCUGGCCCUCACCGCAGCCGUCGGGAGGGGCCUGGCGUUGCCCGUGCUGCUGCGGGGCACGUGGGGCACCGGGAAGGUGCAUGAUGCACCCGGGUUCAUGGCGGGGAGCCCAGGCAGGAGCCCAGACAGCCUGCUCCCUGCUGUGCUCUACGGGCUGACCCCAGAGGUGGUUUCUGUGGUUACACGGCACAGCGGGGGCCGGGGGGAGGGCGGGGCGGUGUUCACCUGAGGCUGGCAGAGCGGCAGCGGCUUAUUUCUCUGCGUCAGCUUGGCCCUGGGCGACAGGACCCUUCAUGUCGUCAUUUCCCAACACGUGUCCUCUGGAAAAGGACCUGAGGUUUCAUUGCCACUAAAUGCAUUUAGACAAUAGAUUGUGUUCACUUACUGGAGUUUCUUAGGUCUACGUUGAUCUAUUAGAGAUGCCUUAAGAAAACAGUAAAGACACCCAUUCCACGUUGUUCAGCCCGGCGUCCCCCGGCCUGCGGGGCGUGGCACCUCCCCCGCUGCGCCCCGCCUGCUGGCGUCCCACGGGGACACUGCCCUGUGUGCGCUUUGGGGAGGACAGACGGGUACGGAGCUGCGUCAGAAGCUGUGUUUCAGUGAAAACCGGCCUGGCUUUACUGAAGGAAGACACGAGUGUCCAGCCCGCUCUGGCCCGCCGCGCCCUGGGUGGCUGUGGGGGGGGGGGGCCAGCCGUGUCCGUUGAAAUGGGCCCCCGGGCUCCGGCCGGCCGGCGUGUGUCGGGAGGGCCCCGCGGUGACAUUUCAGCUCCCGGGGCAGAGUCGGUGUCCGGUGUCCCCCUCUGUCGACACCGACCCCAGAUUUGGUCGACGCCAGCUUCCCAGCUUGUUUCCAUACAAUGACCCGGCCGGACCUAAAGGUGGAAUGUGAUGUCACCCGCUAUCUAUAGUCGUUCCCUAAUCAACACCUGGCCCGGGAGUACCUGGCUGGUCUGCUCUAAAUUGGGACCGUAUCUCAUUGUCAUCCCUCGGCUGCGGGGCAGCAGGCCAGGGCCCAGGGCGGCCAGGACUGGGGAUCAUCCGAGGCCCGCGGCAGCGGGGGCGGCCGUCAGAGGCCGUAUAUAGCCCGGUGUGGAGGGCGCUGUGGGGGAAGGGGGGCAGUGUUUAGAGGCGGCGGGCCCACGGGGGCCUGUGUCUGGGAGCACAGCCCCGCGGUCCGACUGGCUCCCGGGAGCGUGACGCGGCCUGGCUGGGCGCCUCCACCUGCACGGCCCCGGGCGGCGGGGCUGGCCCCGCACUGCUGGUGGGGCACUCUGGUCGGUGUUUCUCCCACGUUUGCCUUCCAUGGGCCAGAACCAGUCCAGGCCCUCACACGCGGGUCCCCGUACCGGGCCCAGAAGGGCUGAACCGGCCUGUGUGACACACGCCCUGUGUGACAAACGCCCUGCGUGAGCUACACGAGGAGGGCGGUUUGGGGGACCCCGCUCUAGCUGUCCGGGGGACUUACGCAGCAGUGAGGGGCUCAGUCCAUUCCUCCGGGUGCUUCUGUUUCCCGGCACUCUGGUUCGGGGCCCAGCCUGGGCUCGUAAGAGUCUCGUGUUGUCUCGGAAGGGACACCCAGGGUCUCAUGCCCCUCACCCCGUGCUCUUCAGGGCUCUGCGGUCCCAGGCCCUCGGGCCAAGGGCAGGUCCUAGCCGGAUGCUGGGCCCGGCGGGAACAAGCGUGUGUGCGUUUCCUUCCUUUCUUGGCUCGGUCCUCCCCUUCCUGGGACAAGAGUCAAUUUUGAAGAGGCGGUUUGGGGGCUGUUGGGACUGGUUCGGGGUCUUUCAUGUUAAACCUCUUGUCUGCUCUAACCGGUCACGGACGUUCACCGAGCACACACUGGGUGCAGAAUAAGGAAUGAAAGGUGAAUCGAGCAUGUCCCUGCCUUCUUGGCGUCGCGUCACCCGUUCAGAUCCGGGACGACAGACAGUGCUGGAGGUGGUCGGCGGUGGCGGUGGCGCAGCACCGUGGACGCGCUCAGUCCCAUGAAGCUACGCCUAGAGAUGAGGACGAUGAUCCCUGCGCCUCGGCCCGGCCGGAACCGGUGCCCGUCUCCCCUCCCCUCUGAGCUGCUGCUGCUCCUCUCGCUCUGGGAGCCGCACGUCCUCAACCAGCUUCGACGUCUGCUCAGUGUCUCCAGUUGGGAGCCUCAGUGCCGAGGGUGACUUCACCGCCUUUGAACUCCUCCUCGGUCUUGACGCGUGCGCCUCGGACUCAGCGUGGGAUCCCUCCCCCCCUCCCCACCUCCG